UCGAGUGAUGCGAUCGAGUGAUGG
RNAcentral lists this non-coding RNA (24 nucleotides) under Arabidopsis thaliana (thale cress). Lineage: Eukaryota; Viridiplantae; Streptophyta; Magnoliopsida; Brassicales; Brassicaceae. The record is from RNAcentral.